RNAcentral lists this ribosomal RNA (468 nucleotides) under uncultured bacterium. RNAcentral's name for it is "partial 16S ribosomal RNA". It matches the Rfam family "Bacterial small subunit ribosomal RNA", at positions 28 to 507 of the family's 1533-position model. The record is from RNAcentral.
GACGAACGCUGGCGGCGUGCUUAACACAUGCAAGUCGAACGGAAAGGCCCUGCUUUUGUGGGGUGCUCGAGUGGCGAACGGGUGAGUAACACGUGAGUAACCUGCCCUUGACUUUGGGAUAACUUCAGGAAACUGGGGCUAAUACCGGAUAGGAGCUCCUGCUGCAUGGUGGGGGUUGGAAAGUUUCGGCGGUUGGGGAUGGACUCGCGGCUUAUCAGCUUGUUGGUGGGGUAGUGGCUUACCAAGGCUUUGACGGGUAGCCGGCCUGAGAGGGUGACCGGCCACAUUGGGACUGAGAUACGGCCCAGACUCCUACGGGAGGCAGCAGUGGGGAAUAUUGCACAAUGGGCGGAAGCCUGAUGCGGCAACGCCGCGUGCGGGAUGACGGCCUUCGGAUUGUAAACCGCUUUCGCCUGUGACGAAGCGUGAGUGACGGUAAUGGGUAAAGAAGCACCGGCUAACUACGUG